ACACCCCUGCCGUGCUCGUGAUUGGAAGAUGUGCUUUGACCCAACACUUUAUUUUCGGGAGCUUUCACUGGUUUUGGUGAGCAGGUUCUGCGCGUACAGAAAAGCCUAAAGAAACUAUAAGGCGCCCACCUCGUUCGUCAGGUUCAAAGACCUGCCAACACGGCACAUUGGUGGGGGUAAA
Molecule: non-coding RNA, 181 nt
Filed under: Desulfobacteraceae bacterium
Lineage: Bacteria; Pseudomonadati; Thermodesulfobacteriota; Desulfobacteria; Desulfobacterales; Desulfobacteraceae
Description: 6S RNA
Rfam family: 6S / SsrS RNA
About the family: E. coli 6S RNA was the first non coding RNA to be sequenced, but its function was unknown until recently.
Source: RNAcentral